Long non-coding RNA from Parasteatoda tepidariorum (common house spider), 1582 nucleotides. RefSeq lists it as uncharacterized. Lineage: Eukaryota; Metazoa; Arthropoda; Arachnida; Araneae; Theridiidae. The record is from RefSeq and is a predicted model, not a curated record.
AAAACACCAUCUAUACAUAGACCCAGUCACCACGAAAGUUGCGAUCGCAAAUAAACAAUAAACAGUGAUGUUUUGUUUACUCUCUGACUUGGUUGAGAUUUUGAUUUUAACAAUCGACAUUAUGAAAUUUAAAAUAAAGAAAUUAAAUACACAUUUAGGAAUUUUAGAAUCAACACAUUUUUCUAAGCAUUGAUGAAGUACAACUACAACAUGGCAACAAUUUUACGUUCUUCGUCUAAUAACAAACAGAACUCCAGCUCAAAUGCUUUAGGUUUAGAUAUGGUUUACACUGACAAUUCUAAAAAUAAAUCAGGACAAACAUAUCUUCCAUCUGAAGCCACACUUUUGUGAGUGAAAAUGGUGACUGAUGUAUAUUGUUAGUUUGUAUUUCUUAUUUUGUAUAAGUUGUUUAUAUUUUCUUUUUUCAAAUUAAAUUAACCUUCAACUUGAAAAGAGCUGAUACCACUACUCAUUUUUUUAAUAAUAGGUUUGUUUUAAACUUGUAUUUAAUAUCAAUAUUUAAUCUUUUUUAACUUUCUAGACAAUCUGACUUUUUGGUUCUGAAACCCUAUAAAUUGCUUUUUUUCUUGUUUGCACCAUGUGACAUUGUAAGGUUUUUGUCUUGAGUUUGGCUAAUAUAGCCUCAUUUGUUUCUCUUGUUUUUUAACUUUUUGUAUCAAACAUUGUUUUGAGCACAGUUUAGUUUUGUUACCUUGAGUAUGUAAUUUUGUAAUGAUUUUUCUUUGAGUUGAGCACAAUAUAACAACAUUGUUAUUUACACUAUUGAGCUCUACAUUCAAUUAGAUUUUUAAUCAAUAGUGUUUUUAUUAGAGUUUAUCUGAUCAUAUAAUCAAGUAUAAAAGCACCACAAUAGGGGAUUUCUCUACCCUUAAACGAAACUGAAAGCAUUAUGAACAGUGAUUGUCCAAUCAUUGCUUUUAGAGGAAUAUAGUAGGUGCUUAAAAACAUUAAUCUCACUUUUGACGAGGAAACAUUUUCAGUGAAUUUUCUAAAAAAGGCUGAAUCAGUUAAGAUAGGUUUCCUAUUGCUUCAUAUUUUAAAGCAAUAUUUCAAGUAAAUAAUAAGUUUUAGAAAUUGCAGCAUUUUUAAUUUUAAAUAUUCUUUAAUAUUUCUGUUAGAAUCUGCUGCAAAUUAAGUUUAUUCUGCAAUAUUUUAUGUUUUCCCAUAUUUUUGAUGAUCAUACUUUUUGGCUUUAAAUAAUUAUUUGGUAACAUUAAUCCAAAGGUCAUUAAAUUCGACGCCAUAUUGUCUGAUUGUAGCAGUAAUUAGACUAAAAUACUUAAUUAACUUACAUGUUAUUCAUUUAUCAAAUAAAUAAAUAUAAUAUAAAUUCUCACUUAGUAUAAAACUUUUUUCUUUAAAAAAAUAUAUACUUUUAAGAUUAAAUGAAUUUUUUGAAGAAAUUAUUCCAUUGUCGAAAUCAUUAAAUGAGUUGAAGGUUAAUUGUGAUUUAUGCCUUUGUUUACAAAUGAUUUGUUUAUUUUGGUUCAUAAAAUUUUGCUUAUUUGUAUGUUUGCCCUUCAUGAUAAAUAAAGACUCUUAUUUUUAAACAAAAUGAAAA